Ricinus communis (castor bean) is the source of this 2425-nucleotide RNA transcript. It is a transcript of the gene named cytochrome P450 87A3, with no coding region annotated. The transcript is spliced from 9 exons. Lineage: Eukaryota; Viridiplantae; Streptophyta; Magnoliopsida; Malpighiales; Euphorbiaceae. The record is from RefSeq and is a predicted model, not a curated record.
AGUAAAUUUAUGGAAAGAAAAAAUCUAAAUAUUCGGUAGUAUAAUUACUGCCCAACCAUUUUUUUUAUAAAUAAAAAUGAAAGUGGGUCCCACUCGUCCAAAUCAGUGUCAAUAUUACCAAAAAAAAUAAGAAAUGCAGGCCCAAUCACCCAGCUCAGCCAAACUAAUAUCCGUUUGUGGUGGAUGUGACGGAAGGGUUUAAAUGUAUUGUUUUUGAAAAAUAAAGCUCCUAUUGGGAACAAAAAAAACAUCAAGGGCUCAGUUGGCCCACUAGUUAUAGUUCAGGGGUCUGGCUAGCCCUUUUCCCUAUAUAGUAAGACAUUACAUCAAUUGUUUUUCUUUUCCAAUUACAAAACAAACCAUAAAGUUCUAGUUGUAGACCUGUGGUUAGAUAUUUAGCGUCGAAGAUUGAGUUCACGAUCUCUCUUCUUAAUGUGGUUAAUUCUACACUUUGUACAAAAAUUCUCCUUCCAUCCUAAUUUACCAUACCAGGAAAAAAAAAAAAUCAGAACUGGUAACCUGUGCAACAAACUCCUCUGUUGGCAUGUCUGCGCCUAUUUAAGUAGCUUCUACGGCUUGCUGUAUUGCCUGUGCAGCUAAACUCUCCCUCUCUCUCUCAUUCUCGAUACGAUAUAACUCCAGCCAUUGCUCAGUAAAGUUCUUUCACUAUUUAUUCACCAACAACAGAAAGCUAUAAGCAAAUAGCUGAAAAAAGAAUAAGAAACUAUGGUUUUUGUAACAGUAGUCGGUCUAAGCUUACUCUUAUGCCUUGCCCAUUGGAUUUAUACUUGGAGGAACCCGAAGUGCAAUGGCAAACUCCCACCAGGUUCAAUGGGUUUUCCCAUCAUCGGAGAGACCGUUCAAUAUUUUAUUCCUUGCACGAAUCUUGACAUUCCUCCUUUCCUCAGAGAGAGGAUGGAGAGGUAUGGUUCUCUGUUUAAAACCAGUAUAGUUGGCUACAAAAUUGUAGUUUCUACAGAUCCAGAGAUCAAUCAUUUCAUAUUCCAAGAAGAAGGGAAGUCAUUUAUAUCCUGGUAUGUGGAUAGCUUCACUGAUAUUUUCGGAAAAGAUAAUUCCUUCUUUCUUCAAGGCUUCGUCCACAAGUAUGUGAGGAACUUGACCUUGAACUUUGUCGGUGUUCAAAGCCUGAAAGAAAGAGUGCUUCCUCAAGUCGAAAAGCUGACUUGCAAACAUUUGCAGUCCUGGUCCAGCCAGGGCACAGUCGAAUUGAAAGAAGCUAUUUCUACAAUGAUUUUUAAUUUUAGUGCCGAAAUGCUAUUUAGUUCCAACGAAACAGAGUCCACGACGAAGUUGAGGAAAUCCUAUGCUGCUUUUCUAGAUGGUUUGAUCUGCUUCCCUCUGUACAUUCCUAGAACUGCUUACUGGAAAUGUUUACAGGGACGUAAGGAAGCAAUGGGGAUUUUAAAGAGUAUGUUAGAGGAAAGGCGUACAGCACCUAAGAGAGAAAAGAAAGAUUUUCUUGAUGUUAUGGUAGAAGAAACCAAGAAAGACGGAAGCUUCCUAACAGAGAAGAUGGUUUUAGAUCUACUUUUUAUGCUUCCUUUUGCUUUUUUUGAGUCUACCUCCUCGACUAUGGUAUUAGCAGUGAAAUUUCUUGUUGAAAAUCCUGAAGCACUGGAAGAUUUAACUAAAGAACAUGAAGCCAUUCUAAGCAACCGAAAAACCAAUGAUUCUGAAAUCACUUGGGAGGAAUACAGGUCCAUGACUUUUACUCAUAUGGUUAUCAAUGAAACAACAAGGCUUGCAAACAUUGUCCCAGGAAUUUUCAGGAAGGCUGUCAAAGACGUACAAAUAAAAGGAUAUACAAUUCCAGCAGGCUGGAUGGUUGUGGCAUGUCCAACAACUGUUCAUUUGAACCCUGUGAAAUACAGUGAUCCUCUGGCCUUCAAUCCAUGGCGGUGGCAGUUUCCAUUUUAUAAAACGAGAGGGAGAAGAACUGCACUCAGGAUCAAAGAAUUAUAUGGCAUUCGGAGGAGGAGUGAGACUUUGUGCAGGAGCUGAUUUUGUUAAACUGCAAAUGGCCAUAUUUCUCCACUAUUUGGUUACAAAAUACAGGUGGAGUGUGAUCAAGGGACAUGUCCUGAAGAAGCCAGGCGUGGUGUUUCCGGAUGGUUUCCACAUUCAACUCUUUGACAAAAAUACUAACUAAGAGUUGGACGACAAAUUUGUGAUGUAUCUUAUUUACUAUAAUAUGUGAUUCUAGUUCAGUAUCCGUCCGUACUUGACUUGAUUCUUAAUUAAUUAAAAAUAAAAAUAACAUUCAGAGUCACCGCGUCUAAUAAUAAUGGACACUUCAAUCCUUGGGUUUGAAUUUACGAUGGGAUAGUAUUAGGCCACCCUCUUUCGGUCUAUUUUGUAGUUAAUAUAAUAUUAAAUUCAUAAUUAAUAUUUUAUUUCUCUCUUA